This 1425-nucleotide ribosomal RNA is filed under the name uncultured bacterium. RNAcentral describes it as "bacterial SSU rRNA". It matches the Rfam family "Bacterial small subunit ribosomal RNA". The record is from RNAcentral.
AGAGUUUGAUCCCGGCUCAGGAUGAACGCUGGCGGCGUGCCUAAUACAUGCAAGUCGAACGAAACUUCUUUAUCACCGAGUGCUUGCACUCACCGAUAAAGAGUUGAGUGGCGAACGGGUGAGUAACACGUGGGCAACCUGCCCAAAAGAGGGGGAUAACACUUGGAAACAGGUGCUAAUACCGCAUAACCAUAGUUACCGCAUGGUAACUAUGUAAAAGGUGGCUAUGCUACCGCUUUUGGAUGGGCCCGCGGCGCAUUAGCUAGUUGGUGGGGUAAAGGCUUACCAAGGCAAUGAUGCGUAGCCGAACUGAGAGGUUGAUCGGCCACAUUGGGACUGAGACACGGCCCAAACUCCUACGGGAGGCAGCAGUAGGGAAUCUUCCACAAUGGGCGAAAGCCUGAUGGAGCAACGCCGCGUGGGUGAAGAAGGUCUUCGGAUCGUAAAACCCUGUUGUUAGAGAAGAAAGUGCGUGAGAGUAACUGUUCACGUUUCGACGGUAUCUAACCAGAAAGCCACGGCUAACUACGUGCCAGCAGCCGCGGUAAUACGUAGGUGGCAAGCGUUAUCCGGAUUUAUUGGGCGUAAAGGGAACGCAGGCGGUCUUUUAAGUCUGAUGUGAAAGCCUUCGGCUUAACCGGAGUAGUGCAUUGGAAACUGGGAGACUUGAGUGCAGAAGAGGAGAGUGGAACUCCAUGUGUAGCGGUGAAAUGCGUAGAUAUAUGGAAGAACACCAGUGGCGAAAGCGGCUCUCUGGUCUGUAACUGACGCUGAGGUUCGAAAGCGUGGGUAGCAAACAGGAUUAGAUACCCUGGUAGUCCAUGCCGUAAACGAUGAGUGCUAAGUGUUGGGAGGUUUCCGCCUCUCAGUGCUGCAGCUAACGCAUUAAGCACUCCGCCUGGGGAGUACGACCGCAAGGUUGAAACUCAAAGGAAUUGACGGGGGCCCGCACAAGCGGUGGAGCAUGUGGUUUAAUUCGAAGCAACGCGAAGAACCUUACCUGGUCUUGACAUCCCGAUGACGAGUGAGCAAAGUCACUUUCCCUUCGGGGCAUUGGAGACAGGUGGUGCAUGGUUGUCGUCAGCUCGUGUCGUGAGAUGUUGGGUUAAGUCCCGCAACGAGCGCAACCCCUAUUUCCAGUAGCCAGCAGGUAGAGCUGGGCACUCUGGAGAGACUGCCCGGGAUAACCGGGAGGAAGGCGGGGAUGACGUCAAAUCAUCAUGCCCCUUAUGAUCAGGGCUACACACGUGCUACAAUGGCGUAAACAAAGGGAAGCGAGACGGUGACGUUAAGCAAAUCCCAAAAAUAACGUCCCAGUUCGGAUUGUAGUCUGCAACUCGACUACAUGAAGCUGGAAUCGCUAGUAAUCGCGAAUCAGAAUGUCGCGGUGAAUACGUUCCCGGGUCUUGUACACGCCGCCCGUCA